Molecule: long non-coding RNA, 271 nt
Organism: Cynara cardunculus var. scolymus (artichoke)
Lineage: Eukaryota; Viridiplantae; Streptophyta; Magnoliopsida; Asterales; Asteraceae
Exons: 2
Source: RefSeq, a predicted model, not a curated record
AGACUCCAUCUCCAUCGAAUCUAGAACUAAAGACCUCAUAUAUCCAUCCCAGAUCUGAAACCCCCUAUCGAAGGUUAUGGGGUUCUACAUCAAAUGAAAAUUUACCAAUAUGGAAGGAAGCAUUCGAAGGUCUGCGUCGUUUAUUUUUGCCCCGAGACGCACUCUCUAUUAUGUUCACUCUCCUUCCGGAGAUGAUGACUGGAGGAUGGCCGGAGAAGAUGACUGCUGGUCAGUGGUGGUUCAGAUCAGUGGUGGUUGGCGGCGGUUAAGA